Molecule: RNA transcript, 2089 nt
Organism: Abrus precatorius (Indian licorice)
Lineage: Eukaryota; Viridiplantae; Streptophyta; Magnoliopsida; Fabales; Fabaceae
Gene name: PHD finger protein Alfin1
Exons: 7
Source: RefSeq, a predicted model, not a curated record
AAGGCAAAGGAAGAGAAGUGAUAAUAAUAAUGUCCGGGGCAGAACCCUGUUACGUUAUUGUUCUUUGAACCUCAUCUCUUUAUAUAGUCUCUGCUCCACCAAAUUUCAAUUCUAACGCUUCUUUCUUAUUUCAAUUUCCAUUCUUCUAAGCUUCAUAUUUAAAUUCGGACAUAAGCACCACCAUCUACCCCUUUCCCUAUUUCCAGUAGGGAAAAAAGAAAACCCUAGCCAAUAACGGUUCAUUACCCAAAGAAAGAAGAAAAAACCUCGUUGAAUCCAAAAUCUUGGUGUGGGUCAAUAAUUUAAAUUGUUUAGCAGAGACACAGAGAGAGAGAGAGAGAGAGGAUGGAAGGAAUACCGCACCCUAUCCCAAGAACAGUGGAAGAAGUUUUCAGCGACUUUAAGGGUAGACGUGCUGGUUUGAUUAAGGCUCUCACUACCGACGUUGAAAAGUUUUACCAGCUCUGCGAUCCUGAGAAGGAGAAUUUGUGUCUAUAUGGGUUUCCAAAUGAAACAUGGGAAGUGAAUUUGCCCGUUGAGGAAGUGCCUCCUGAACUUCCUGAGCCAGCAUUAGGUAUAAACUUUGCUAGGGAUGGCAUGCAAGAGAAGGACUGGUUAUCACUGGUUGCAGUUCACAGUGACUCAUGGCUGCUUGCCGUUGCUUUCUAUUUUGGUGCCCGCUUUGGAUUUGGUAAGAAUGAAAGGAAAAGGCUUUUUCAGAUGAUAAAUGAUCUGCCAACUAUCUUCGAACUUGUGACAGGAAGUGCUAAGCAAUCAAAGGACCAACAGGCUGCUCACAACAAUGGUAGCAAAUGCAAAUCAAGUGGAAAGUCUCGUCAGUCUGAGUCUUCGACCAAAGGAAUGAAGAUAUCACCCAAAGAAGAGGAUGAGAGUGGAGAAGAAGAGGACGAGGAGGAGGAUGAACAAGGUGCAACAUGUGGUGCCUGCGGUGAUAAUUAUGGCAAUGAUGAAUUCUGGAUCUGUUGUGAUAUGUGUGAGAGAUGGUUCCAUGGUAAAUGUGUUAAAAUUACUCCUGCUAAGGCUGAGCACAUCAAGCAAUACAAAUGCCCAAGCUGCAGUAGCAAGAGGGCAAGAGUUUAAAAGCUCUGAACCUUUGGAAUUUGGAUCAAUCACCAAUUGAACAGACAAAAUUUAAAAUGUUUGAUAACAUUUUUACUAGUGAAAAUUGUUGCCUGUUGUAGUCAAUGAUGCACUUUAAUGACUGUGUAGACAGAAUUUCAGGUUUUGGUACUGUUCAUUCAUACUGUCUCAUCUUGGGAAUUGUGUUUUUGAGUAGUCAUUGGCAACAAAGAUAUUAUAUAUUCUGCACUUCCUGGUUUUUAUUUCAAUAAAUAUUUCAUUUAUUUCUCCAUUUUGAUGUGGGAACCAAGGUGGUAAACCGGCUUCAAUGUGAUUCAGUUUCAGCAUUAAUAGUCCUCAAAGAGACUUUGAUGCUGCUCGAGCCAAGGCUCUUGGGCAAGGAAUACCUUUGCAUGGGAACCAAGGGUACUGUAACUGUGUCACACUUGUAGCAUUUUUAUCUUUGGAGGUUAGGGUCCUGUUAGCAGGUUUUUGAAGAAAUCUUUUGGGGAACUGAAGCAUGAAGGUUCCAACUGUUUGACCUGCUUAGAUGGAGAAAGAUUCUUCUUCUUGAUGAACAUAAUUUGAAUAUUGGUGAGAAAUGAUCAGGUAUGCUUCAAAUUCAACGCUUGGCCAGUCUGACAUUUCCUCAAGGCAGUUUGCUUGUUUAAAUUGACAGUCAGCACCCAAUUUAAUUGGGUGAAAAAUUAAAUGAAAUACUGACAGAAAAGUUUUAUCUAUUUUUAAGUAGUUUGGGCAUUGUUUCGUCGUGAUGUCAGCGCCGUUUUAUGAAGAAAUCUGCAGUUAUUAUACUCGUCACAGCCACUAGAAGUUGCUAUAGAAUUUUUUGUACAUUUAGUUUGUUUGAAUUAGCCUCUAUGAAUUUUAUUUUGGAUAAUGUUAAUGUUUUUAUAUUAUCUUGAUUAAAAUGAAAAUUGAAGUAAUUGAUAUAUAUUUGUAAAUUUUUAUUUCAUAAGUUAGUAAUAAAUUUUAAUAUAAAAUUAUUAUC